CCGAGGAGGGGUCCCUCUGGGGGCCCGAUCUUCCCACCCAUGUUGACCGUACCAUGUUGCUUCGGCGGGGACGCCCGUCGAGGGGGCCUCUAUUUUAACCGCUAUGCUGCCUGAGUGUCGUCUGAGUCGGGUUUAAUUAUAGAUAUUAGUGA
RNAcentral lists this unclassified non-coding RNA (152 nucleotides) under uncultured Eurotiales. RNAcentral's name for it is "sequence contains ITS1". Lineage: Eukaryota; Fungi; Ascomycota; Eurotiomycetes; Eurotiales. The record is from RNAcentral.